GACGAACGCUGGCGGCGUGCUUAACACAUGCAAGUCGAACGGAAAGGCCCUGCUUUUGUGGGGUGCUCGAGUGGCGAACGGGUGAGUAACACGUGAGUAACCUGUCCUUGACUUUGGGAUAACUUCAGGAAACUGGGGCUAAUACCGGAUAGGAGCUCCUGCUGCAUGGUGGGGGUUGGAAAGUUUCGGCGGUUGGGGAUGGACUCGCGGCUUAUCAGCUUGUUGGUGGGGUAGUGGCUUACCAAGGCUUUGACGGGUAGCCGGCCUGAGAGGGUGACCGGCCACAUUGGGACUGAGAUACGGCCCAGACUCCUACGGGAGGCAGCAGUGGGGAAUAUUGCACAAUGGGUGGAAGCCUGAUGCAGCAACGCCGCGUGCGGGAUGACGGCCUUCGGGUUGUAAACCGCUUUCGCCUGUGACGAAGCGUGAGUGACGGUAAUGGGUAAAGAAGCACCGGCUAACUACGUG
RNAcentral lists this ribosomal RNA (468 nucleotides) under uncultured bacterium. RNAcentral's name for it is "partial 16S ribosomal RNA". It matches the Rfam family "Bacterial small subunit ribosomal RNA", at positions 28 to 507 of the family's 1533-position model. The record is from RNAcentral.